AAGUCGUAACAAGGUUUCCGUAGGUGAACCUGCGGAAGGAUCAUUACAAAUCUUUGGGGCUGGUCGCCGUGAAUAGCGGUGUACUGGUUUCACAUUAGCACAAGGUCGCAAGGCCUUGAUGUUUACGCUUGUUUGUUUGACAGAGUUAGUUGAGAAAUAUAAAGACAACUUUUAACAAUGGAUCUCUUGGCUCUU
RNAcentral lists this unclassified non-coding RNA (195 nucleotides) under fungal sp. RNAcentral describes it as "partial internal transcribed spacer region". The stretch from base 1 to 46 matches the Rfam family "Eukaryotic small subunit ribosomal RNA", at positions 1786 to 1831 of the family's 1831-position model. Lineage: Eukaryota; Fungi. The record is from RNAcentral. RNAcentral also lists the same sequence under 2 other names.